RNAcentral lists this unclassified non-coding RNA (200 nucleotides) under Ceriporiopsis sp. Its description in RNAcentral is "partial internal transcribed spacer 2". The record is from RNAcentral. Lineage: Eukaryota; Fungi; Basidiomycota; Agaricomycetes; Polyporales; Meruliaceae.
UUAAGUUCAGCGGGUAGUCCUACCUGAUUUGAGGUCAGAUUGUCAAAGUAGUUGUCCUCGCGGACGGUUAGAAGCUCGAACACUGUUAUACUUCAACACCACGGCGCAGAUAAUUAUCACACCGAAGCGAUCCGUAAGGUUCGCACUAAUGCAUUUCAGAGGAGUCGACUUUCGCAAGCCGACACGACCUCCAAGUCCAA